RNAcentral lists this long non-coding RNA (7290 nucleotides) under Salmo salar (Atlantic salmon). RNAcentral's name for it is "lncRNA (ENSSSAG00000080651.2)". The record is from RNAcentral. Lineage: Eukaryota; Metazoa; Chordata; Actinopteri; Salmoniformes; Salmonidae.
ACCCUCCCUCUUCCUCCUCUUCACCCUCAUCCUUGCAUCCCUCCCGGGCCUCCUAUCCUUUCUAAGGCAGAGUUUCUGGAGGCAGUACGUCGCAGUAACCAGGCAUGCCAACGGGGGCAGUACAGCCUGGCAGUGCAGCUCUACGGCGAGGCCCUGUCUGCUGACCCUCAGAACUGCAUCCUGUACAGUAACCGCUCUGCGGCCCUUCUCCACCUGGGACAGUACCAGACCGCCCUGGACGACGCCCUCAAAGCCCGUCUGCUUAACCCCAAAUGGCCCAAGGCAUACUUCCGUCAGGGUGUGGCCCUGCAGUACCUUGGUCGCCAUGCCGACGCCCUGGCAGCGUUUGCCUCUGGUCUGGCGCAGGACCCCAAGAGUCUCCAACUUCUGGUGGGCAUGGUCGAGGCUGCCAUGAAGUCCCCACUACGAGACUCUCUGGAACCCACCUACCAGCAGCUGCAGAGGAUGAAGCUGGACAAGAGUCCAUUCGUGGUGGUGUGUGUGAUUGGUCAGGAGCUGCUGACCGCUGGUUACCACGGCGCCUCAGUGGUGGUCCUGGAGGCAGGGCUAAAGAUCGGCACAUGCUCUCUGAAGCUCCGAGGUUCAGUGUUCUCUGCUCUUAGCUCAGCCUACUGGUCGCUAGGCAACGCAGAGAAGAGCACAGGAUACAUGCAGCAAGACCUGGAGGUGGCCAAGACGCUAGGUGACCAAUCAGGCGAGUGCCGAGCUCACGGGAACCUAGGCUCUGCCUACUUCUCCAAGGUCAACUACAGGGAGGCUUUGACCAAUCACAGGCAUCAGCUGGUCCUCGCCAUGAAACUCAAGGACAGAGAGGUGUGUGUGUGUGUCGCUCCAUCGUGUACUUCUCCUUCUCUUGCUGCGUCCGCUGCGCUGAGCAGCCUUGGCCAUGUGUACACAGCGAUAGCGGACUAUCCUAAUGCCCUGGCCAGCCAUAAGCAGUGUGUGCUGUUGGCACGGCAGACCCAGUGCCUGCUAUCAGAGGCUCGCCAGCUGGGCAACAUGGGCGCUGUCUACACCGCACUGGGAGACUUCACCAACGCUAUGCAGUGUCACCAGCAACACCUGGAUAUAGCUAAGACCCUGGGUAAUGGUCCUGAGGAGGCGCGGGCGUACAGUAACCUGGGCAGUGCCCACCACAGCCAGAGAGACUUUGACAAGGCUGUGUCCUACCACACCCUGGUGCUGCAGCUGGCUCAGGAGCUGGAGGACAGGACUAUACAGAUGAGGGCUUACGCCGGCCUGGGACAUGCUGCUCGCUGCAUGCAGGACUUGGAGAGGGCAGGCCAGUACCACCAGCAGCAGCUGGACAUAGCGGAGGAGCUGCAGGACAGAGCUGCACAGGGACGAGCUUCAUCCAACCUGGGUAUAAUCCACCAGAUGAAGGGGGAGUACGAUGCAGCGUUGAAGCUCCACAAGGCCCACCUGUGUUUGGUCCAGGAGCUGGGGGACUAUGCUGCUCAGGGCAGGGCCUAUGGGAACAUGGGAAAUGCCUACAACGCUCUGAGGAUGUACGACCAAGCUGUACGCUACCACCGGCAGGAACUGCACAUAUCACUCGAGAGCGCUUUGGGGACGUACGACCAGGCUGUACGGUAUCAUAGAAAUGCCAUGACUAGAGCUGACGUGAUUCCUUAUUUUAUAUACCAAAGAGGUAUGUUUGUUCUGCAUCAUACAUUUGUAUCUGAACGUUGGCCAACGUUGUGUCCUGUGAAUGACCGUCCCUCCCAGGCCUCUACUCAUGGUAACCUGGCUGUAGCCUAUCAGGCGCUGGGUGCUCACGACCAGGCUCUCCAGUAUUAUGAGCAGGAUCUGGCCCUGGCUAAAGACCUGGGUGAUAAAUUGUCCCAGGCUAAAGCCUACUGUAACCUGGGUCUGGCCUACAAAGCCCUGGGGGAAUAUAGCAAGGCUGAGGACUGUCAGAGAUACCUGCUGUCCCUGGCUCAGGCUCUGAACAACACUCAGGCAGUGUUCCGUGCCCUGGGAAACCUGGGGGAUGUGUGUGUGUGUCGGGGUGACGUGGCCGGGGCGGUGAGGUUCUACCAGCAGCAGCUCACCCUUGCUCAGGAGGUCAAAGGACACAAGAUGGAGGCUGACGCCUACUCAGCGCUAGGCUCUGCCCACAGACUCCUCCGUCAGUACGACCUGGCCCUGUCCUUCCACCAGCAGGAGCUGUCUGCCCGCACCGCUCUAGACGACCAGCGGGGGCAGUGUGGUGCUCUGGGCCGCCUGGCAGCCGUCCACAUGGCCCUGACAGACUACCCCACAGCCUUCCAGUGUUACCAGGCCCAGCUGACCCUGGCACAGGGCCUCAGAGAUGCCUGCGUGGAGGCACAGGUCCAGGGCAACAUGGGCAUCGCCAAGAUGAACAUGGGUGUCCUGGAGGAGGCCAUUGGAUAUUUUGAGCAGCAGUUGGCCAUGCUGGAGCAGCUGAGUGGGGCUGAGUGUGUGCUGGACAGAGGCAGGGCCUACGGGAACCUAGCAGACUGUUAUGACUCUCUGGGAGACUUUGAGGAAGCUAUAAAGUACUGUGAGAUGUUUCUGACUGUGGCUCAGAGUCUCAACCAUGUUCAGGACCAGGAAAGAGCCUACAGGGGACUGGGCAACGCACACAGAUCUCUAGGUAGUCUCCAGCAGGCGUUGGUGUGUUUUGAGAAGCGUCUGGUGGUGGCCCAUGAGCUGGGUGGAUCGGGAGGUGGAGAGGGAGAAAGUGGAGGAAGGAAAGCCCAGGCCCAGGCAUAUGGGGAGCUGGGAGACCUACACAGCCAGCUGGGGAAUUAUGAACAAGCCCUAUCCUGCCUGGAGCAUCAACUUAACAUCGCCUCCACCGCAGGGGACCGAGCACUAGAGGGCGAAGCGAGCGGGGCGUUGGGUGGAGUGUACCAGCUGAUGGGAGAGAACGAGACAGCUCUACAGUGGCACCAGAGGGCAUUAGAGAUUGCGGAGGAAACAGGAAGUGUGAGGAGUCAGGGGAGGGCCUACGGGAACCUGGGGUUGACCUAUGAGGCGCUGGGAAACUACGAAAGGGCCGUGGCCUGUCAGGAGCAGCACCUGAGUGUGGCAGCGCAGAAUAAUGACCUCACAGCCAAGACACUGGCGUACGGCAGCCUGGGGAGGACACACCAUGAGCUACAGAACUACACACAGGCUGUCAUGUACCUGCAGGAAGGUCUGCGUUUAGCAGAGCAGUGUGGGAGGAGAGAGGAGGAGGCUAGGAUCCGUCAUCGUCUGGGCCUGUCACUGUGGGCCAGCAGCAACCUGGAGGAGGCCCAGAACCAGCUGUACCGAGCGUCUGCCUUGUUUGAGUCGAUUCGUCAUGAAGCCCAACUCAAUUCAGACUACAGGCUGACUCUGUUUGACCUGCAGACAUCAUCAUACCAGGCUCUCCAGAGGAUCCUCGUCAGCCUGGGUCAUUAUGACGAGGCCCUAGCAGUGGCAGAGCGGGGUCGGACCCGGGCGUUCGCCGACCUCCUGGUGGAGCGACAGCAGGGUCACCAACCCCUGACCUCUGACCCUUAUACCCCGACCCCUGACCCUUACUCCCCGGUAACCGUAGAACACAUCCUGGAUACGGUCAACAGUCAAAAGUCACUGGUGCUGUACUUCUCUCUGGCCGCAGGGUACCUCUACAGCUGGCUACUGGCACCAGGCACAGGUAUAGUGAAGUUCCACGAGGUGUACCUGGGUGAGGGAGGAUCCGAGCUGCAGGCCUCAGAGAUCCAGGGGGGAGGAGUUAGUGGCUGCCAGUCUCUGGAGCAGCACAUCACUGCAGCUAGAGAGGCUCUGGGAGUAGACAACUACUACAGCAGGUAUGUGUGUGUCUUAGGUGAGACAGAGAGCGAAGCGGGGGAUCUGUUGGAACAGCAGUUUGAGGAACGGCUGAGCUCAGCUAGCGACCCUACAGGCUACCUACGUAUGGUUUCCAGAAACAACCUCUUCAACAGGAGUUCUGGUCUGGUCAGUUCUACAGUGUCUCCAGUGAGCGAGACCUCCUCCCCCUCUCUACCCUGUAGACCCCCACCCACCCCCCUCGUCAAACCCCCCCUCCGAGCACUUCACCACCUGCUCAUUGCACCUAUGGAGGGGGUGCUGAUGCCCGGCAGUGGUGCAGUGGGCAGACACAGACAGUUGGUGUUGGUGUUAGAGGGAGAGCUGUACCUGGUUCCCUUCGCUCUGCUCAAAGGUAGCUCGUCUAAUGAGUACCUGUAUGAGAGGUUCAACCUUCUGGCUGUCCCAUCUAUAGGGAGCCUGGGGCCUGUAGCCAAGUCCUACCCUCGUCGCGGGGCCCCCUUCCUCUACAGCGGUGGGGGUUCCAUGACUGCAGUGGUAGGGGCUCCACGCCUGCCCUCCAGGGUGAUGGAGCGUUGGCUGUGGGGUCCGCUGCCCUCUGCCCACGACGAGGCCCUCCGCCUGGGGGAACUGCUGGGCUGCCAGCCCCUCACUGGAACACAGGCCACCAAGGACCGUGUGAUAGCAGCCAUGGGCCAGGCAGAGUGUGUUCACGUUGCUACUCAUGUCUCCUGGAAGCUGGCGGCCCUGGUUCUCUCCCCCAGCCAGGAUCCAGGGAUGGACUCGGGAACACGGCCCAAGGAGAGUGCACCGUGUGGGGGAUCGCUUUCAAGCGAGACUGGGGAUGUGGGAGCGAGGACUGAGGCACGGGAGGACGGGAGCGAGGACGGAGGAAGUGUGUGUGACGCAGAGAGUGUUUGUGACAGUCCACCACUUCAGGAGUUUCUGCUCACUGCGGCAGACAUACUGGACCUGAGACUGCCUGUCAAACUGGUGGUGCUGGGGUCGUACCAGGAGUGUGUUAGCAGGGUGACAGCUGACGGGGUUGUGGGUCUGACCCGUGCCUUCCUUGCGGCGGGGGUGCAGUGUGUGUGUGUGUCACUGUGGCCCGUUCCCAUGGCAGCCUCCAAGGUGUUCACACACACCUUCUACACGGCGCUGCUGAAUGGGACCAAGGCCAGUGCAGCUCUCACUGAGGCCAUGAAGACUCUACAGAGCAGCACACACUUCUCACACCCUUCUAACUGGGCGGGCUUCAUGCUGAUUGGCUGUGAUGUGAAGCUGAACAGCCCCUCGUCUCUGAUUGGCCAGGCUCUGGCAGAGAUCCUCCAAUACCCUGAGAGGGCUAGAGACUCCCUGAGAGUACUUUUGCACCUGGUUGAGAAGUCUCUCCAGCGUAUACAGAGUGGUCAGAGUAAUGCUAUGUACACCUUGCAGCAGAGUGUGGAGAACAAGGUUGGUGGUGUACCGGGAUGGCAGGCCCUGCUGUCAGCCGUGGGGUUCCGGUUAGACUGUCCCGGUACCGGCAGUGGUCUCCCCGCUGCUGUCUUCUUCCCUAUGGCCGACCCUGGAGACCGGCUGCAGCUCUGCAGCACCACUCUGCAGUCAUUACUAGGUCUGCCUCAUUCAGCAUUCCAGGCCCUUUGUAAACUGGUCAUUGCUGCUGAGACUGGAGAACAGCUAAUCAACAAGGUAGGCCUCAAUCUUCACCAGGUAUUGGUUCAGCAACAGACAUGUGACAAGGAGCAGGAGUUCUCAUUGGCUCCCAUCCAGGUGUCCAUUAGUGUCCAGCUGUGGAGACUUCCUGGUUGUCAUGAGUUCCUGGCUGCGCUGGGUUUUGACCUAUGUGAGGCAGGACAGGAGGAGGUGCUAUUGAAGACGGGUAAACAGGCUUGCAGACGGACAAUGCACUUUGCUCUGCAAUCUCUACUGGCACUGUUUGACUCCACAGAGCUCCCCAGACGCCUCAGCCUGGACAGCUCUUCAUCUCUAGAGUCUCUCUCCUCCUCCCAGUGUGCCUCCCUCCCCCUUAACCUCCCCCAGCCUCCCUUCUCGCCAACGCUUGGCGGCCCAGACAGUCUCUCAUGCGACGCCAUCUCCCUCUACAGCCUCAGCUCCCUCGCCUCCUCUCUCAGCUUCCUGUCCCGCCCCGAACCCGCAGGAAGUGAUGGCAUCAGCCAGCGUUCACGGCAGCAGGAACUGGAGCGGCACCGCGGAGGAGUCUCUCACCGACACACAGGAGGUGUGUCGAGAAACAGAUUAACGAAUCACAGAGGAGUAGGCGGAGGGACAGAGGGGGAGGAUAAGUAUGAAGGAUUCUCUAUCAUCAGCAGUGAGCCUCUGGGAGGAGGGGGAGGAGGGGGGAGGGAGUGCGCGGCAGGGAGGGGGUACCCCGUCUCGAUCUCCUCCAAGGGGAGUGUCAGCACUCCCACCUCACCGCUCAAAGUCCCCCCCUUGUCUGAAGGUCAGGUGGUCAGUACAGAGGCGGUCCUCUCUGAGUCUGACCAGUCCAGUACAGAGACAGACAGCACCGUCAAGUCCCAGGAAGACAAGCCACCCCUCACCCCUCUGGACCCCCAGGAGCUGGCCACCAGGAUCCUGGAAGAGACCCAGAGCCACAUGCAGGCUUUGGAGAGCCUCCAGAGGGGGAGGACAGGAAGGGUAGCCAGCCUACAGGCCCGGGCUUCACCUCUCUCCCUCUCCAGCCCUCUCUCACCCCUCCCUGCCACUCUCUCACCCAUCUCCACCCCUCUCUCACCCCUCCCUGCCACUCUCUCACCCAUCUCCACCCCUCUCCUCUCCACCAGGCCCAAACCCCCCUCUCGUUGCUCGUCCUUACAGAAGAUCAGCUCCGGCUACAACAGCCCGGCCCUAUCCUCCGUCUCUUCCUCCCUCUCUUUCUCUCACCCCUCACCCUCCAGAACCCCAGACCCCCACAUCCAUGCGCAGCUCAGACUUAAAUACCCCAGCUCCCCUUACACCCCCCACAUCUCACACUCCCCCAAUACCCUCUCCCUGGCCCCCUCCCCUGCCCUCUCCUACUCCUCUACAGGCUCUACCGCAUCCCGCUCCAGCCCGGCAGGCCUGGUCGACGAGAGGGUCCAGGCCAUCCACAACCUGAAAACCUUCUGGUCCAAUGCCACCCAGAGGCAGGAGGUUCCCGGCCCAGGCAGAGUGCUCCGAGAUGGGGGGAAGAAGAUGAGCACGGUCCAAAAAGAUGUCCUGGGGCUUCUCCACCUCUCUCCAAGACAUGGGUCCACCAACAAGAACCAGGACGCUGAAGGGCCCCAGAGCCCCACCAACCCGCUUAACGGACAUCGAAUGCUGGGUUCAAAACCACCAGUGGCGCCUCCUCCUCAGACUGCUACUGACUCCUCCAGGAGAGGUUGUCCUGGAGCACCCCCACACCCUGUCAAACUGCCCUCUGGGAAUGGCUUCAAGUUCCCCUCGCCUGGGAAGUUCUUCCCCUCCUCUAAAUGCUGA